This 253-nucleotide ribosomal RNA is filed under the name uncultured bacterium. Its description in RNAcentral is "partial 16S ribosomal RNA". It matches the Rfam family "Bacterial small subunit ribosomal RNA", at positions 524 to 776 of the family's 1533-position model. The record is from RNAcentral.
UACAGAGGGGGCAAGCGUUAUUCGGAAUUACUGGGCGUAAAGGGCUCGUAGGCGGCCAACUAAGCCAGACGUGAAAUCCCUCAGCUUAACUGGGGAACUGCGUCUGAUACUGGAUGGCUUGGAUUCGGGAGAGGAAUGCGGAAUUCCUGGUGUAGCGGUGAAAUGCGUAGAUAUCAGGAGGAACACCUGUGGUGUAGACGGCUUUCUGGACCAUUGCUGACGCUGAGACACGAAAGCGUGGGUAGCAAACAGG